This 254-nucleotide ribosomal RNA is filed under the name uncultured bacterium. RNAcentral's name for it is "partial 16S ribosomal RNA". It matches the Rfam family "Bacterial small subunit ribosomal RNA", at positions 524 to 776 of the family's 1533-position model. The record is from RNAcentral.
AACGUAGGAGACAAACGUUAUCCGGAGUUACUGGGCGUAAAGGGCGUGUAGGUGGUUUCGUAAGUCUGGCGUGAAAUUUUUCGGCUUAACCGGGAAAGGUCGUCGGAUACUGCGGGACUAGAGGACGGUAGAGGCGUGUGGAAUUCCGGGGUGUAGUGGUGAAAUGCGUAGAUAUUGGGAGGAACACCGGUGGCGAAGGCGGCCCUCUGGACCGGUACUGACGCUGAUGCGCGAAAGCGUGGGGAGCAAACGGG